This 251-nucleotide ribosomal RNA is filed under the name uncultured prokaryote. RNAcentral's name for it is "partial 16S rRNA". It matches the Rfam family "Bacterial small subunit ribosomal RNA", at positions 525 to 775 of the family's 1533-position model. The record is from RNAcentral.
ACGGAGGGUGCGAGCGUUAUUCGGAAUUACUGGGCGUAAAGCGCGUGCAGGCGGGGAGGUAAGUCUGAUGUGAAAGCCCUGGGCUUAACCCGGGGAGUGCCUUGGAAACUAUCUGUCUUGAGUACGGGAGAGGAAGGGGGAAUUCCCAGUGUAGAGGUGAAAUUCGUAGAGAUCGGGAGGAAUACCAGUGGCGAAGGCGCCCGUCUGGACGGAUACUGACGCUGAGACGCGAAAGCGUGGGGAGCAAACAG